RNAcentral lists this long non-coding RNA (880 nucleotides) under Chinchilla lanigera (long-tailed chinchilla). RNAcentral's name for it is "lncRNA (ENSCLAG00000027841.1)". Lineage: Eukaryota; Metazoa; Chordata; Mammalia; Rodentia; Chinchillidae. The record is from RNAcentral.
CACAGUUUAAAGAUCUCACCUCUUAACAUGAUUACAUUUGGGACUAAGUUUCCAAACAUGAACUUUGGGUGGGAGAACACAAAACUAGCAAUUUCCAUGGAAGGCUGUCUUUAAUGCAGUUUAAAGUAGUGGUUGCCUCUGGUUUAUGCUGAGGAUCAUGAUCCAUUUGCUAAUUUGACAUUCAGCAAAUCCCUGAGUAUGCUUUAAAUAUUAAUAGUGCAGAUGGAGGUGAUGCAGUCCUCUACACAGGAAUUGUUCAUUCCUGAUCCUGGGCAUGCUGUAACUAGAGUAUAUCUGGAAUCUGGUGGUGCUCAGAGCUGCGAGCAUCUCUCCGACUACUGCGGGGUUCAGUCUCCAGUACCACAAAAAUAAAUAAAUAAAAUAUAUGAUGGAAUAAGGUAAAAUUUCAAUCACUUUUUUCUCUUCCAGAGUAUUAUAGUGUAUUUGAAAAGUGAGCUUACUGUUGAAUAUGAAAUUGAUUUCUUCUUUAAAUUAUAUUUGCAUAUCUUAGUCUGAUUUGGGAACAAAUAACUGCAAUUAAUGCAGCAAAGACUUAAAAAACUAUCACAGACUUGAUCUUUUCCUCUUCAAUACCUGUCUGUGGAGGUUAGAAUUUUGAAUUUAGCAGGAUCCUUAGAAAUCAUCUCAUUUUUACUUUUACACUUUCAGGAGAGUUGUAGCGUAGGUUGUGAACUUGCUUGAGGAACUGAGAUUUACUCACACUGCCAUCCAUUGAUUGUGAGUAACAGCCCCAUGUCUUAGGCCGAGGGCAUUUAUUUGAAUUUGUUAGGCUAUGAAGUAAACCCAAAGAUGAAAGAAUGGUAAUCACAUACAGGUCACCAAUAUAAAAAGCAUGUGCACAGUUAAACAAGUGAUGAUU